RNAcentral lists this ribosomal RNA (554 nucleotides) under uncultured bacterium. Its description in RNAcentral is "partial 16S ribosomal RNA". It matches the Rfam family "Bacterial small subunit ribosomal RNA", at positions 355 to 902 of the family's 1533-position model. The record is from RNAcentral.
UGGGGAAUUUUGGACAAUGGGCGAAAGCCUGAUCCAGCAAUGCCGCGUGUGUGAAGAAGGCCUUCGGGUUGUAAAGCACUUUUGUCCGGAAAGAAAUCCUUGGCUCUAAUACAGUCGGGGGAUGACGGUACCGGAAGAAUAAGCACCGGCUAACUACGUGCCAGCAGCCGCGGUAAUACGUAGGGUGCAAGCGUUAAUCGGAAUUACUGGGCGUAAAGCGUGCGCAGGCGGUUUGCUAAGACCGAUGUGAAAUCCCCGGGCUCAACCUGGGAACUGCAUUGGUGACUGGCAGGCUAGAGUAUGGCAGAGGGGGGUAGAAUUCCACGUGUAGCAGUGAAAUGCGUAGAGAUGUGGAGGAAUACCGAUGGCGAAGGCAGCCCCCUGGGCCAAUACUGACGCUCAUGCACGAAAGCGUGGGGAGCAAACAGGAUUAGAUACCCUGGUAGUCCACGCCCUAAACGAUGUCAACUAGUUGUUGGGGAUUCAUUUCCUUAGUAACGUAGCUAGCGCGUGAAGUUGACCGCCUGGGGAGUACGGUCGCAAGAUUAAAACUC